Long non-coding RNA from Megalobrama amblycephala (Wuchang bream), 399 nucleotides. RefSeq lists it as uncharacterized. The transcript has 3 exons. NCBI's taxonomy places the organism in Eukaryota, Metazoa, Chordata, Actinopteri, Cypriniformes, Xenocyprididae. The record is from RefSeq and is a predicted model, not a curated record.
AUAUUCCCAUCAGAAGGGCAUUGGAGCACCAGGAAGAGCUGAAACCAGUAAAGACUGAGUUUAUUAAAGAGGACAGUGAGAACAUGAGUGAUCCAGAACCCUGCAGAAUGAAACACACUGAAGAUACUGAAGAACAAAGAGAUGGCGUGUAUUAAAGAUGAGUCUGAAGACAUGAAGAUUGAUUUUAUUAAAGAAGAGACUAAAGAAAUAAAGAUUGAAGAAACAUUCAGUGUGAAACAUGAAGACACUGAGGAACAAACAGACCUGAUGGCACUGAAAGAAGCGAGUCAUGAACUUGAUGAAAGGCAAGAAGAGGAAGAACAUUAUUAUAAACAUAAUUUCAUGACUGGGGAAAGAUCAACACAAGCUUCAUCACAAAAAAGAGCUCAAAAGACUGGA